Molecule: ribosomal RNA, 110 nt
Filed under: Phlebotomus saevus
Lineage: Eukaryota; Metazoa; Arthropoda; Insecta; Diptera; Psychodidae
Description: partial 5.8S ribosomal RNA
Rfam family: 5.8S ribosomal RNA
About the family: 5.8S ribosomal RNA (5.8S rRNA) is a component of the large subunit of the eukaryotic ribosome. It is transcribed by RNA polymerase I as part of the 45S precursor that also contains 18S and 28S rRNA. Functionally, it is thought that 5.8S rRNA may be involved in ribosome translocation.
Source: RNAcentral
AACUGCAGGACACAUGAACAUCGACAUUUUGAACGCAUAUUGCGGUCCAUGCAAAAGUUUAUAAACUUGUUUUUUAAACUGCAUGGACCACGUAUGGUUGAGUAUCGUAA